AAGUCGUAACAAGGUUUCCGUAGGUGAACCUGCGGAAGGAUCAUUAAUGAAUCGUAAGGACGCUCUUUUAGAGGUCCGACCCCUUCAUUUCCAUACACUGUGCACACACUUCUUUUUUACACAUUUUAACACUUCAGUAUAAGAAUGUAAACAGUCUCUUAAUUGAGCAUAAUAUAAAUAAAACUUUCAACAACGGAUCUCUUGGCUCUCGCAUCGAUGAAGAACGCAGCGAAAUGCGAUACGUAAUGUGAAUUGCAGAAUUCAGUGAAUCAUCGAAUCUUUGAACGCACCUUGCACUCUUUGGUAUUCCGAAGAGUAUGUCUGUUUGAGUGUCAUGAAACUCUCAACCCCCUUAUUUUGUAAUGAGAUAGGCGCGGGCUUGAAUUAUGGCUUUUGUCGGCGUAAAGUCGGCUUAGCUGAAAUACACGAGCAACCCUUUUGAAAUAGACGGUUUGACUCGGCGUAAUAAUUAUUUCGCUGAGGACGUCUUCUUCAAACGUUAGAGGUGCUUCUAAUGCGUAAUCAUACUUUAAGCUUUAGACCUCAAAUCAGUCAGGACUACCCGCUGAACUUA
Molecule: ribosomal RNA, 574 nt
Filed under: uncultured fungus
Lineage: Eukaryota; Fungi
Description: eukaryotic LSU rRNA
Rfam family: 5.8S ribosomal RNA (bases 182-335)
Source: RNAcentral